GACGAACCGUGCGAACGUUAUUCGGAAUCACUGGGCUUAAAGCGCGUGUAGGUGGCGGCCUAAGUACCUUGUGAAAUCCUGCGGCUCAACCGCAGAACUGCUUGGUAUACUGGGUCGCUUGAGCCAUCCAGGGGCAACUGGAACAAGCGGUGGAGCGGUGAAAUGCGUAGAUAUCGCUUGGAACGCCAAAGGUGAAAACAGGUUGCUGGGGAUGCGCUGACACUGAGACGCGAAAGCCAGGGGAGCGAACGGG
RNAcentral lists this ribosomal RNA (253 nucleotides) under uncultured bacterium. Its description in RNAcentral is "partial 16S ribosomal RNA". It matches the Rfam family "Bacterial small subunit ribosomal RNA", at positions 524 to 776 of the family's 1533-position model. The record is from RNAcentral.